RNAcentral lists this ribosomal RNA (725 nucleotides) under Comamonas sp. CCM-013. RNAcentral's name for it is "bacterial SSU rRNA". It matches the Rfam family "Bacterial small subunit ribosomal RNA", at positions 26 to 748 of the family's 1533-position model. The record is from RNAcentral. Lineage: Bacteria; Pseudomonadati; Pseudomonadota; Betaproteobacteria; Burkholderiales; Comamonadaceae.
AGAUUGAACGCUGGCGGCAUGCUUUACACAUGCAAGUCGAACGGUAACAGGUCUUCGGAUGCUGACGAGUGGCGAACGGGUGAGUAAUACAUCGGAACGUGCCUAGUAGUGGGGGAUAACUACUCGAAAGAGUAGCUAAUACCGCAUGAGAUCUACGGAUGAAAGCAGGGGACCUUCGGGCCUUGUGCUACUAGAGCGGCUGAUGGCAGAUUAGGUAGUUGGUGGGGUAAAGGCUUACCAAGCCUGCGAUCUGUAGCUGGUCUGAGAGGACGACCAGCCACACUGGGACUGAGACACGGCCCAGACUCCUACGGGAGGCAGCAGUGGGGAAUUUUGGACAAUGGGCGAAAGCCUGAUCCAGCAAUGCCGCGUGCAGGAUGAAGGCCCUCGGGUUGUAAACUGCUUUUGUACGGAACGAAAAGCCUGGGGCUAAUAUCCCCGGGUCAUGACGGUACCGUAAGAAUAAGCACCGGCUAACUACGUGCCAGCAGCCGCGGUAAUACGUAGGGUGCAAGCGUUAAUCGGAAUUACUGGGCGUAAAGCGUGCGCAGGCGGUUUUGUAAGACAGUGGUGAAAUCCCCGGGCUCAACCUGGGAACUGCCAUUGUGACUGCAAGGCUAGAGUGCGGCAGAGGGGGAUGGAAUUCCGCGUGUAGCAGUGAAAUGCGUAGAUAUGCGGAGGAACACCGAUGGCGAAGGCAAUCCCCUGGGCCUGCACUGACGCUC